AAUAGCAAUGAUAUCCCUUGAGCAUCAAAUCCCAUCAGAACUACAAAGUUAAGCGUGCUUGGGCAUGAAUAGUACUAGGAUGGGUGAACCCCCGAGAAGUCCUCGUGUUGCAUUCC
Molecule: ribosomal RNA, 116 nt
Filed under: Solanum tuberosum (potato)
Lineage: Eukaryota; Viridiplantae; Streptophyta; Magnoliopsida; Solanales; Solanaceae
Source: RNAcentral